GGGGGUGACUGGCUUCGACGGGGUCGGUAACGCCGUGGUUGCGUGCCCAGGUGCUGAGCCCUGGUGAAACACUCGGCAAAACACUACACGCCAACAACAACCUGGCGCUCGCUGCCUAACCCUUCGGGGUUAGCGUAGCAGUGCUCACGGCGCAGCCCGCCCGGGGCGGCACGUGAGUAUCGCAAAUCUGGGCUAGUGCUGUGGUGCGUCGCCGGCCGUAGCGCGAAACAAAGGUGACUCGUCCGGGAGUGGGCGGCCUGCUGGCCAGCGACCGGAGACCUCAAUCAGCAGGAUACGCACGUAGACGCUGCGGUAGCUCUUAUCUCGGACAGGGGUUCGACUCCCCUCACCUCCAC
Molecule: transfer-messenger RNA, 356 nt
Filed under: Gemmatimonadetes bacterium T265
Lineage: Bacteria; Pseudomonadati; Gemmatimonadota
Rfam family: transfer-messenger RNA
About the family: Bacterial tmRNA, also known as 10Sa RNA or SsrA, is named for its dual tRNA and mRNA-like properties.
Source: RNAcentral